This is a long non-coding RNA of Ornithorhynchus anatinus (platypus), 2546 nucleotides long. RefSeq lists it as uncharacterized. The transcript has 3 exons. NCBI's taxonomy places the organism in Eukaryota, Metazoa, Chordata, Mammalia, Monotremata, Ornithorhynchidae. The record is from RefSeq and is a predicted model, not a curated record.
CUCUUUGGAGAGUACAAUACAACAGAAUCGAUCAGGGCUAUCCUUUGGACCAAUUUAAAGUCAAAAGAGAAUCUGUCUCUGAAAAAUACAUUGCUGUUUGGGAAAAGCUGGUUUUGAAGAAGACAGCCUGCGUUUUACCUGCCCAUGAUGACAGUGAGAUUCUGUCAUAGCAGAGGACCUAAGGACUGGCUGAGUACAAUGACUCCCGCAAGGAUUCCCAAAACCAGGAAGAUGAGGCAUUUGAGCACAAGGUACAGUGUGUUUUUUCUUUCUUGGCCUGUUUUACCCUCAACUAGAAAAUCUUAUCAACUACUAUUUAAUUCCUCCUACUUUAUGCAAGCACAGCCCUUGAGAUGCAUAAUUUAUGUGGGACACUCAGUCGGCUUUAAACACCGACAGGUAUCAUUAUUAUAUUGUAAUUUGGCAUCAUCACUCCAUGCCUGACGCCUUUCUUGGAGAACUCAUAGUGUCAGGGGAGCAGGAAGGGAGUUUUCGGCAAGGUCCCAGACACCUACCAUCUCUUCCUCUCGCUCCACAACUCCUCUCGUUGCCUCUGCCGGCCUUGGGCCCUCUCGGCCCUCAUGCCUCGGGAUUGAUUCGGCACUCUCUGACACCAGGCAGCCCUAAACCAAGAAAGGACCCCUCUUUGUUGCUUGUUUUCUAGCUCCUCAGAGUCACUUUUGCGGGUAUUUUAUUUUGGCGGGAUGAUCAGGUACGCAGUCACAAAUCAAAGACCAAUUUUUUUCCUGGCUUUUUUUUUUGAAAUUAGAAGCUGUGUCUGUCAUCUUCAUCAAGGGCGGGUUUACUGGCGGGAGGUCUGACAGAAAGGAGGGGCUACCGGGAUACUGGACUGGUCUAAAGCUCCAAACUGGUCCACGGCUGAUCCGUAUUUUGGACGAUCUGCUGAUCGUUGUUUCAUUUCUAAUUUAUGAAACAUUUCAUUAAUCCUCAAUCUGUCAGCUCCGCUUGAUAAUACUGCAGCCUGGCAGUCACAGGAUUAAUAUUUAUUAAAUACCUUCCACUGUAUAAGGCAAGGAAAUGCUUGGCUCAUCUCCGCAGCACAAUCUCUCGCUCCUUAACCGGCUACGGCAUUUUCCCUUUUCAUUUUUGGAAAAGUAAACAAACAAACAAAGGAAUUCAGAAAUCAGACGGCCAGACAUCUAUCUCUAGGCAGAACCAUCAGGAUGCAGACCUGAGGAGGAUUGCCAUUCCUAGUAAGAAAGGUAUCCCCUGCUCCCCCCAGCCCCCACUCUGAAGCAUCUGUUUUUGUGCUCUUCUUCCUCAUCUUCUCCCCCACCUUUUCAGCUUUAUAAAUAAUUCAUAGGCUGAUAAAUAUGCAAUUUCAAAAAGUGCAGACAUGGCAGCACUGCAUAAAAAAAAAAAAAGACGCUUGUGCUUCUCACACAGAAGUCCUGAGCCGCACUUAACGGAUGACAAAUUUUCCAGUAUUCAAAGGCUGUAUUAUAUAUAUGAUAGGAGUGUGACUGUAUUUCUGGUCUGAUACCUUGCUAGACAUGUUGUGAAUUGUCUGAGGAAGGUUGUAACACACAGCACAUAAACAUUUUGUUCAAAAAUGAAGUUAGCUGUGUUUAAAGUUGGGCUUGCCCUAAGCUUUUUUGCCUGGCAAUUCUUGAAAUUUUUGAACAAACAAUUUAGAGAGAUUUCCACAUUUGCUCCGUGAGGCCCCGAGUUCAGAGAGGGGCAGGUAUUGCGUGUCCCGUAAUUCUCUGGUGAUAACACCAUAAAGGUCUCAAUCUUUGAAGGAUUCCCUUAAGCAACAGCCAUUUAUUUGACAUCCCGGGAACAUCCUUCAGCGUCCGAUUUAACUAGAUCAACAGCAAGCUGUUCGGUCUGCUCUUUCACACAGGUAGCCACCCCCGCAACAAACAGCAUAUGUGUAGACAUCCAUAUAUAAAUAUAGAUAUAUAUAUGGCAAAGCAGCAUUCCUCCAUUUUGUGACCUAAUUGCUUGAUUACCAGACUGAAACAAAAUGGAGGAAAGACUUUUUAAGCAGCUCAGGGGCUGACAUGACAGAAGAGAAAAAUUAUUGGAGAAAAAUGGUGCUUAAAGAACAUUAGGCAUAUAAUCACAUCAAUAUUAAAUGGAAUGUAAUAAAUAUAGAUUGCACGUGUAUUUAUAUAGUGUAUAAGGAGAUAACCGAGCUUGUGCACGGAACACAUGGGCAGCCAGCUAGACUAGCUCGGCGCUAGAGUCAAAUACUGAAAAUUUUGCAAAAGGAUUUUGGAUUUGGGUCCAUCCAAUGUAGCCUUUUAGGUGAGCACCUAAAUUGGAAACACCCCGGGUAAGAAAUAGACCGCAGCAUUUAAUUUGGGUGGACUACUUGGGAGCCUGUAUUUACUGUACAAUAAUUUCAAAUUUAAUUAAGUCACACUCCUGAUGCCAGUCGCUGCGACACAGUAAAGGUGAUUAAUUGCACACUUAAAUGAAAUAUAAACAGCCUUAAAAGGAACAUCAACUGCACACCCUGCAAAGAGCAGCCACUCUGAUGGAGUCAGGCUGGGCGGGGUGGGGGGGAGGGAAAGGGA